Episyrphus balteatus (marmalade hoverfly) is the source of this 560-nucleotide long non-coding RNA. RefSeq lists it as uncharacterized. NCBI's taxonomy places the organism in Eukaryota, Metazoa, Arthropoda, Insecta, Diptera, Syrphidae. The record is from RefSeq and is a predicted model, not a curated record. The transcript has 2 exons.
AAUUGAACACCAAAUCCUUAAAUUGUCGCAUUUUCCUCCCUAGUUUCCAUAUUUUCAUUUUUAUCCACUGUAAAAGCAGAUUAAAAUUCUGAAAAUAAAAAUAAAAAAAACAUAGCAAUCAAUUUUUAAAAAAUGUCAAUAAAAAAUAUUAUAAAAUAUAAAAAUCAAUCAAAAUUCGUACGUACCGAAAAAUGAACCCUUCUCGCCUGUCUUCUCGACAAUUGAAUAGCAGUCCUCCUGGUGAUAAUAAGAUGCUCGUUUGGAACAUAUAUAAAUCCCAGGUUUGGCUAAAUUUUUUAAAAAUAUAAAUAUGUAUUAAAGAUUAAACAAUAAAAUAUUUUUUAACAUACAAAUACGUGUGGUCCAUCACCAAUCUGUUCCACGGGAAGAAGCUGUGCUUACCAAAUUGUUCUGCCUUCGAAACCAAUUUCUUGGAUUGGACCAUGUUCUGCUUCCAAACUAAAACGAAAUUCAUAUUUAUUAAAGGUUUAACAAUUCAAAUUUUAAAAAAAACUCACAUUUCUGAAAAAUGCAACAUCAAUUAAAUUUUCCAUUUUCAA